Molecule: non-coding RNA, 474 nt
Organism: Pocillopora verrucosa
Lineage: Eukaryota; Metazoa; Cnidaria; Anthozoa; Scleractinia; Pocilloporidae
Source: RefSeq, a predicted model, not a curated record
GUUAAUAAAAGUGGAGAUCGUUAACUCCCAAAAUUUGAUCGUUAAUUCUCCCCUUAGCUGCUAGAAUUUGGUGUUUGAUCAAGAAAAUAUCUUGCUGGAUAAGAUGAUCAUCUCACAGCUGGAGCCUGGGCUGCCUAUGGUGACACAAGCACAUGUUUGAUUAUCUCACAAUCCUUGCAGAAAGAGGCAUAGGCUUAGAUUUGAUGGCGGUUGAGUCCUCAAGACCACUAGUGUCCUACCAAGGCAGUAACUGUUCAUUUUGCCAUUUGACUAGCUGUUUAACAAGAUACACAUGAGGUGGUGAAUGGUUACUUGGAAAUCAGUGCAAGGAGACAUAGACAGCAUAAUCUCAACCAAAAGCAGGAUGGAGCUUAAGCCUUCAGGUUUGGAAGACAACAAACUUGCAUAGUUACAUACAGUGUAUCAACAGGUUUUUCUGUUCUGUGUACAUUACCAAAACUCUUGAGUUUUUGC